UCGUCAGUGAGGUUUAUCCUUACCUGUUACUCUUUUUAGAGAAGCAGAAUAUGAUGAUGAGGUGUAUGAGUUUAUGAUUAAUAAUUACUCAACUGUGAAGCUUAACAACCUUUGCAGUAUCCUUGUCUGAU
This is a small nucleolar RNA of Protopterus annectens (West African lungfish), 131 nucleotides long. RefSeq annotates it as U8 small nucleolar RNA. The transcript has a single exon. Lineage: Eukaryota; Metazoa; Chordata; Ceratodontiformes; Protopteridae. The record is from RefSeq and is a predicted model, not a curated record.